This 21-nucleotide non-coding RNA is filed under the name Caenorhabditis elegans. Lineage: Eukaryota; Metazoa; Nematoda; Chromadorea; Rhabditida; Rhabditidae. The record is from RNAcentral.
UACAUCGCAGUGAAAGUACCC